GUCAACAUAUUUCAAAGUACCACGUCAAAACGCACUUAUGACCUCUCACCAACUCCCCGCACCACUUUCCAAAGGCAAAUCAACUUAUCACAUGGUAGUUAUCAUCUUUUGCACAACAACAAAUAUGACCUUUGGAAGAUAGCCCUCCUCUAAACUUGCACAACAACAUGAAGUGCUUGCUGAACUUGCACACCGUGUUCAUCUCGGCGAGCUCAUGAUAUUUAGAUAUUAAAGUUCAUGCG
RNAcentral lists this long non-coding RNA (242 nucleotides) under Setaria italica (foxtail millet). RNAcentral's name for it is "long non-coding RNA (SITA_LNC004933)". Lineage: Eukaryota; Viridiplantae; Streptophyta; Magnoliopsida; Poales; Poaceae. The record is from RNAcentral.